GUGAGGCAUUUGCGCCUCUGGCACCUGUGCUGUGCUGCUGGGAGUUAAGCUGCAGCACGAGAACACAUGCUUGCACAAACUGGGGCUGCCCGUCCUUCCGGCGGGACCUUUAACAGAGAGGGAAAAGG
RNAcentral lists this small nucleolar RNA (128 nucleotides) under Dasypus novemcinctus (nine-banded armadillo). The record is from RNAcentral. Lineage: Eukaryota; Metazoa; Chordata; Mammalia; Cingulata; Dasypodidae.